UUUUGACCUCGGAUCAGGUAGGGAUACCCGCUGAACUU
Molecule: ribosomal RNA, 38 nt
Filed under: Alternaria sp.
Lineage: Eukaryota; Fungi; Ascomycota; Dothideomycetes; Pleosporales; Pleosporaceae
Description: partial 28S ribosomal RNA
Source: RNAcentral